Molecule: ribosomal RNA, 386 nt
Filed under: Eutreptiella gymnastica
Lineage: Eukaryota; Euglenozoa; Euglenophyceae; Eutreptiales; Eutreptiaceae
Description: partial Bacterial small subunit ribosomal RNA
Rfam family: Bacterial small subunit ribosomal RNA
Source: RNAcentral
CGGCUAACUCCGUGCCAGCAGCCGCGGUAAUACGGAGGGUGCGAGCGUUAAUCGGAAUUACUGGGCGUAAAGCGCACGCAGGCGGUUUGUUAAGCUAGAUGUGAAAGCCCCGGGCUCAACCUGGGAAUAGCAUUUAGAACUGGCAGACUAGAGUCUUGGAGAGGGGAGUGGAAUUCCAGGUGUAGCGGUGAAAUGCGUAGAUAUCUGGAGGAACAUCAGUGGCGAAGGCGACUCCCUGGCCAAAGACUGACGCUCAUGUGCGAAAGUGUGGGUAGCGAACAGGAUUAGAUACCCUGGUAGUCCACGCCGUAAACGAUGAAUGCCAGACGUCAGGGGGCUUGCCCUUUGGUGUCACACCUAACGGAUUAAGCAUUCCGCCUGGGGAG